Non-coding RNA from Schizosaccharomyces pombe (fission yeast), 2184 nucleotides. The record is from the annotation of a GenBank genome assembly. NCBI's taxonomy places the organism in Eukaryota, Fungi, Ascomycota, Schizosaccharomycetes, Schizosaccharomycetales, Schizosaccharomycetaceae.
UUCUAUUGUUUUAAAGUAGUAAUUUUGUAGCUCUUUCAUCCAAAAAUCCAAAUGACCCCUAAUUCCUUUUUAAAAAAAUUUUUUUCGUAUUCUUUUAAAGAAAUUCAAAAACUUCAUGUUUACCAUGACACAUGUUUGAUACACGCUGAUAUCCCACUAUGCCUUCCAGGCAAAUAGAAUCAAACUUUGUAUACAUAAUUCUACACUUUGCUGCAUCACUGUCAAGGUUUCCUUCAGAGAUGGUUCUCAUCGGCAUUCUAACAAGUUCAACAUAAAACUGAGGAUUCGUUGGGGGACCAUACAUCACAACAGCUUUUACACCCCUAAAGUCAAAUCGACGGAAAUGGUGAGCGCGCUCAGUAUAUAGCAUUAUAUUGGUUCUACCUUGAUAAAAAAGAUUGCGGGCUCUAGUCAUAUCGGAUACACUCGAAUAUUCUGAUAUGGCAGAAUAGUUAAUUCCCUCCUCAUCCAUGUAAUUUCUCACACGAACAAAAUCAAAAUAUGAAGGUAUAUAAACUAAAAUACCACUCUGGGAAUACUUCUUUAGUUGUACUAGUAUAGAACCAGUAAAAUAGGAAAAGCGGGCAUCUGGAACUUUAAUAAUAGAAUCGACAGAAAUGCGAACAAAAGUUUGAGUCACUUUGUACCCCAAGCGGUUUAAAACACCGUGAAGAAGCGAGCGAAAUUUAACCUUACCAGCAAUAUUUGACAUGUAGUGAGAAAAGAAAGAAUUUAUAUCUAGAUUGUUAUAUUGAGAAAAUAGUAUAGUUUGGCGCAUAUAUCUGGCUUGCUGAUCAAGAUACCAAGGACGAACACGACUGAAAUCACAACCGUGAGCUUCUUUAGGCAAACCAUUAAGUUCAUCAAAAAUGCAUUCAAUAUGUUCCCAGUUUUGCAUCACGAGAGCAUGAGCUUGGUCAACCAUUGCUAUUUCAAUCGAACUCAAAUAAUCGAGGUCUCGCUUUUUAUCUCCCUUGUUACCAAUAGCAAGACGAAGUCCCAAAGGACUAGCAACUAUAAUGUCAGAAUUGUAAAACUGGGAAAAUAGCUUGACAGUUUUUCUUGUAAAUUUAACACCCAGUCGAAACAUAUCGUCGGUAUUUCCGGAAAAAAGAUAACGAAAAUCUUCUGGCUUUUUUUCUGAAAUGACUUCUUUUUCAAUCGAGAAUUCAUUAUCAAAACGCUUUCGAUUUUCUACUUGAUUAGUCCCAGAAUAUGAAAUAAGUAAAUUAAUGAAUUCAAAAGCACUAUUCCUUGUGGGUAAAAGAAUUAAUACUUUAGGCCUGGUGUAUCCCUGAUCACGAAAUUCUAAUUCAGGAUUUUGAGAAAUGCGAGCACUAUUUUUUAAAACACGGUCUCUUGUUUUGAAUACAUGGUUCAAAGCAUGAAGCGCCAAGAGUGAAGUCCCUAACUUAUGGCUUUUCAUGGACAUGUUAGUAAAGAAUACAUCUUGAUAAUUGAACAUUGCUUUCGCUAACUCAAUUUGCAUGGAUGUAAGUUGCCCAGAUGGCUUUUGCUUUUUAUAGGAGUCCAAUAUCCUCUGCUUUAGUCCCAAAUCAUCAAUAUUCUUUAUUUCGCUAAGACACGAGCAAGGCAAUCUCUUGGUCACAUCCGGAAAAAACGAUUGUGACACUCCAAGUUUGGAUUCCUCUAUAGACUUACAUAACUUUCCCUCAUCAUAAGCAGCAAUAGAAUUUUUAAUGACUUCUGAGUCAUCGUAAUCGAAGUGUUGAUGAAAUGGGUCUUCAGAUGAAUCUUGAGCUUCUUGGUGCAAAGUCUCAUCGGCAUCCUGAGAUUCAACAUUGAUGUAAUAUUGUAUUGCUUCUUGUUCAUCGUUUUCGUUUUCAUUUUCAUCUUCCAUUUCAACUUCCAUCUCAUUUAAACUUUCAAUAACUUUGUUCUUUUUUUGUACUUUCUUCGAUGACUUUUCUUUAUCAUCUUUUUUCUCAGGUUUUCUCUUUUUAUUUUUAUUCAUAAGAUAUAAUAAAGCCUCAUAAGACUUUCCAGCCAAUUCAUCCAUCGAGGCACCGUCUAAAUCACUUUCAAUUGCCAUAUUCGCAAAUUUGAUGAAAUCAAGUUAUAGCCUAACAGCUGAAAGAGGAAAUAAACAAAAUAUUUUUUCAAAAUAUUUUUAUUAUAUCUCGAAGAAAAUACUCGUAAAUUUUCCAGCUUUCGGUACCCCAA